UGUGUGUCCCAUAUUUAAAAUAAUGAACUUAUUUACGAGUGAAAGAAACUUUGUCUGUUGAAUAAGAAUAGGAAAGUCUUAACAACAUACCCCUUAUUCUAACUAGCUGCGAUUUGGUCGAUCGCCUCGCCAUAAGUUAAGUCAAGUUAGUUUGGAAUAAUACUGUGAUUGUCAAUCUUCAAAAUCAUCUGAAUCCAAAUUUCCAAAUUUCUUUCGAAUUCAAACUUAAAAAAUUGGCGACUUUUCGGUUUAAGCAAGUGAUGAGAAUUCUACUGACAAUGAAGAGAAAAACAGGAUGACUAUGGUGACAGACCAGACGCUGGCCUAUUGUGUGCAAGAGUGUAGCUUCGACCCCACAAACAACACUUUCACUCUACCCAUGAAUGCCACAGACGAACAAGUUGGUAACACAAAGACAAACACUACUAGUGACUCGUAAUCCAUCCCAGCUGAUGAUGUGGACUGAAUUGGAAUAUCAGAGUGCAAUCGGAGCGUUCUGCGCUUCACUGUGUCAAAAAAUGCGAAGGAAGGGCAAAAUGCGCAAUUCGAAGAAGCUCCUCCACCUCUUGUGGGUUUUGGGUACACUGGUUACUUGCAUUUACUACCUCUAUUCUAGUUAGCAAACUGUUUUCUCGAGGCUUUUAAUUUGGUGUUGAAAUUUAAUUUCUUGAAAAAAAUUAAUCAUCACUAAAUCUGAUGAAACUUUAUUUGUCGCACCAAAUGCAAAAUUAUAAUUCAAUCGAUAUAAGUA
Molecule: long non-coding RNA, 751 nt
Organism: Symsagittifera roscoffensis
Lineage: Eukaryota; Metazoa; Xenacoelomorpha; Acoela; Convolutidae
Exons: 2
Source: RefSeq, a predicted model, not a curated record